GACAACUCUAGAGAUAGAGCGUUCCCCUUCGGGGGACAGAGUGACAGGUGGUGCAUGGUUGUCGUCAGCUCGUGUCGUGAGAUGUUGGGUUAAGUCCCGCAACGAGCGCAACCCUUGAUCUUAGUUGCCAGCAUUUAGUUGGGCACUCUAAGGUGACUGCCGGUGACAAACCGGAGGAAGGUGGGGAUGACGUCAAAUCAUCAUGCCCCUUAUGACCUGGGCUACACACGUGCUACAAUGGAUGGUACAAAGGGCUGCAAGACCGCGAGGUCAAGCCAAUCCCAUAAAACCAUUCUCAGUUCGGAUUGUAGGCUGCAACUCGCCUACAUGAAGCUGGAAUCGCUAGUAAUCGCGGAUCAGCAUGCCGCGGUGAAUACGUUCCCGGGCCUUGUACACACCGCCCGUCACACCACGAGAGUUUGUACUCCCGAAGUCGGUGGAAGUAAACCCCGUAAAAAG
RNAcentral lists this ribosomal RNA (459 nucleotides) under Priestia megaterium. RNAcentral's name for it is "bacterial SSU rRNA". It matches the Rfam family "Bacterial small subunit ribosomal RNA", at positions 993 to 1445 of the family's 1533-position model. Lineage: Bacteria; Bacillati; Bacillota; Bacilli; Caryophanales; Bacillaceae. The record is from RNAcentral.